Molecule: ribosomal RNA, 481 nt
Filed under: uncultured bacterium
Lineage: Bacteria
Description: partial 16S ribosomal RNA
Rfam family: Bacterial small subunit ribosomal RNA
Source: RNAcentral
AUUGAACGCUGGCGGCAUGCCUUACACAUGCAAGUCGAACGGUAACGGGCCUUCGGGUGCCGACGAGUGGCGAACGGGUGAGUAAUACAUCGGAACGUGCCCGAUCGUGGGGGAUAACGAGGCGAAAGCUUUGCUAAUACCGCAUACGAUCUACGGAUGAAAGCAGGGGACCGCAAGGCCUUGCGCGGACGGAGCGGCCGAUGGCAGAUUAGGUAGUUGGUGGGAUAAAAGCUUACCAAGCCGACGAUCUGUAGCUGGUCUGAGAGGAUGAUCAGCCACACUGGGACUGAGACACGGCCCAGACUCCUACGGGAGGCAGCAGUGGGGAAUUUUGGACAAUGGGCGCAAGCCUGAUCCAGCCAUGCCGCGUGCAGGAUGAAGGCCUUCGGGUUGUAAACUGCUUUGUACGGAACGAAAAGCCUUCUUUUAAUACAGGAGGGUCAUGACGGUACCGUAAGAAUAAGCACCGGCUAACUACGUG